CAAAAAAUAGUUUCAAAAUAAAAUAUUAAUUUUGGAAAUUAAUGAUAUAAAAUAUUAUUUUUUUGA
This 66-nucleotide transfer RNA is filed under the name Choeras grammatitergitus. Its description in RNAcentral is "tRNA-Pro". Lineage: Eukaryota; Metazoa; Arthropoda; Insecta; Hymenoptera; Braconidae. The record is from RNAcentral.